RNAcentral lists this ribosomal RNA (207 nucleotides) under uncultured bacterium. RNAcentral's name for it is "partial 16S ribosomal RNA". It matches the Rfam family "Bacterial small subunit ribosomal RNA", at positions 568 to 774 of the family's 1533-position model. The record is from RNAcentral.
CGUGUAGGCGGGUCGUUAAGUUGGGGGUGAAAUCCCAAGGCUCAACCUUGGAACUGCCUUCAAAACUGGCGACCUGGACUCAAGCAGAGGCAAGUGGAAUUGCGAGUGUAGAGGUGAAAUUCGUAGAUAUUCGCAGGAACACCAGUGGCGAAGGCGACUUGCAGGGCUUGUAGUGACGCUGAGACGCGAAAGCGUGGGGAGCAAACA